GGUGCUGUAGUGUAGUGGUUAUCACUCGGGAUUUUGACAUUGUUAAACUUCCCGAAACCCAGGUUCGAACCCUGGCAGGACCU
Mycena floridula is the source of this 83-nucleotide non-coding RNA. The record is from the annotation of a GenBank genome assembly. Lineage: Eukaryota; Fungi; Basidiomycota; Agaricomycetes; Agaricales; Mycenaceae.